Molecule: ribosomal RNA, 497 nt
Filed under: uncultured bacterium
Lineage: Bacteria
Description: partial 16S ribosomal RNA
Rfam family: Bacterial small subunit ribosomal RNA
Source: RNAcentral
GAUGAACGCUGGCGGCGUGCCUAAUACAUGCAAGUCGGGCGAACGGACGAGAAGCUUGCUUCUCUGAUGUUAGCGGCGGACGGGUGAGUAACACGUGGAUAACCUACCUAUAAGACUGGGAUAACUUCGGGAAACCGGAGCUAAUACCGGAUGAUAUUUUGAACCGCAUGGUUCAAAAGUGAAAGACGGUCUUGCUGUCACUUAUAGAUGGAUCCGCGCUGCAUUAGCUAGUUGGUAAGGUAACGGCUUACCAAGGCAACGAUGCAUAGCCGACCUGAGAGGGUGAUCGGCCACACUGGAACUGAGACACGGUCCAGACUCCCACGGGAGGCAGCAGUAGGGAAUCUUCCACAAUGGGCGAAAGCCUGACGGAGCAACGCCGCGUGAGUGAUGAAGGUCUUCGGAUCGUAAAACUCUGUUAUUAGGGAAGAACAUAUGUGUAAGUAACUGUGCACAUCUUGACGGUACCUAAUCAGAAAGCCACGGCUAACUACGUG